Molecule: long non-coding RNA, 409 nt
Filed under: Sorghum bicolor (sorghum)
Lineage: Eukaryota; Viridiplantae; Streptophyta; Magnoliopsida; Poales; Poaceae
Description: long non-coding RNA (SBIC_LNC003278)
Source: RNAcentral
GAUCUAGGUUCUUCACUUGGUGGAGUCUGGGAGUUGUAAAACUCCUUCAUAUUUUGUUUGAAGUAUACCUGCUCAUAAAGACAAGGCAGAGAUCAAGUGCAUGGGCCCUGUUGGUGGAAAACACCAACAGAACCAAAAGUGUAUUUGUUCUUCUCUAACCUUAUGCAUAGUGAGCAAGACAAAGUUGAUGGAUAAUAAGAUCAUGAGUGUAGCAUUUAAAGCAUUUGUCAGAUCAGAUCGCUCAACCUAAUGGAAAGAUAAUCUAUCUAUAUUUAUGUUGUUUAUAUCUUCCAAAGUUUGAAUGUGCAACAUUUUAGCUUAUAUGAUUAGGAGUGUGGAAUCACAACGGUGGAAGGACUAAACAUGUUGAAUCGAUUGGGUUGGUUAAUCUAGAGUUGUAAAUCAUACA